UUCAAUAAGCGGAGGAAAAGAAACUACCAAGGAUUCCCYUAGUAACGGCGAGUGAAGAGGGAAGAGCCCAAGAUUGAAAGCUGGCGUCUUCGGCGUCCGCAUUGUAAUCUCAAGAAGUGUUUUCCGCUUCGGACCAUGCCUAAGUCCCUUGGAAAAGGGCAUCAUAGAGGGUGAUAAUCCCGUACAUGGCAUGGAGCGCCCGAGGCUUUGUGAUACGCUUUCUAAGAGUCGAGUUGUUUGGGAAUGCAGCUCAAAAUGGGUGGUAAAUGCCAUCUAAGGCUAAAUAUUGGGGAGAGACCGAUAGCGAACAAGUACAGUGAUGGAAAGAUGAAAAGAACUUUGAAAAGAGAGUUAAACAGUACGUGAAAUUGCCAAAAGGGAAGGGUAGGAGGUCAGAGAUGCGUCUUGGGAUUCAGCCUUGCCAUUGGCAUGGUGUUUUUCCCAAGUUUGCAGGCCAACGUCGGUUUUGGGCACUGGAGAAGGGUGGAAGGAAUGUGGCACCUCUCGGGGUGUGUUAUAGCCUUCUACUGGAUACAGCGACCGAGACCGAGGACAGCAGCGUACUCGUAAGAGCGGGCCUUCGGGCACUUUACGCUUARGGCGUUGGCAUAAUGGCCCUCUACCACCCGUCUUGAAACACGGACCAAGGAGUCU
RNAcentral lists this ribosomal RNA (654 nucleotides) under Anthracocystis anthracoideispora. Its description in RNAcentral is "LSU rRNA". It matches the Rfam family "Eukaryotic large subunit ribosomal RNA", at positions 42 to 676 of the family's 3401-position model. Lineage: Eukaryota; Fungi; Basidiomycota; Ustilaginomycetes; Ustilaginales; Ustilaginaceae. The record is from RNAcentral.